Manis pentadactyla (Chinese pangolin) is the source of this 1221-nucleotide long non-coding RNA. RefSeq lists it as uncharacterized. NCBI's taxonomy places the organism in Eukaryota, Metazoa, Chordata, Mammalia, Pholidota, Manidae. The record is from RefSeq and is a predicted model, not a curated record. The transcript has 2 exons.
UCAGCCUUCUCAGCACACGCAUUUACUCGUUUUCAAGGCGUGACCUCACCAAACUAGAAAUGAGAAUUGCUCAUACGGCAUAAGCAGUGGGUGUAGGGACAUGGAUCUUACUUCCCUACAAACGUUUGAGACAGGCGGCUCCACACCCAAGAGUCUCUGUCUAGAGGGACACUUGAAAGGGUUGGAAGCGACCAACCACUCUGACCUCCGCUCUCAGGCUCGACGUCCCUCUUGGAAUUUGCCCUACACAUUCCUACAUCCCACCAAGAAGAAAGAGUUUUUCUCCGAGAACGGUGUGGAAUUGGAGACUCAACUUUGGGUAGCCCCUGGACCCAGGCUCUCGUGGUGUGCGGGGGUACCGUCGCGUCAGCGCAGGGCGUGGCUCGAGCUGAGGGAAGGGCGCCGCACUGGGCUGGAGGGAGGACUCUUUAGCCGCACACGCGGCGGAAGGAGCGACGGCGGCUGUACUGCGAUUACUUCCAGCAGUUUCCAGACCCGCCUGGGCGGUCCCGCCCCGCCCCCUUCUUCGAGGCUCCGCCCUACUCGCUGCGGCCCGUCACACAGGUUACCGGCUGUCCGCCCCUUUUAGCGAACCGAGACUGGUUGCAAGAACGCUCGCAGAGGGACCCUCGCGGUUCCUUGCAGCUGCCCAUGUACGUGCAACGCAGAGACACGCCUCCUCCCUACGUGAGCACAUCAGGCCUUUAUUUAAUCUGGUUUCCUUGUUGUCGCCCUCUUCCCUUCUUCAGCAGCUGCCUAGAUCUGGGGGGGAGGAGGGUCUCUAGGAACGCCUGCAGGGUGGCAGGGACUGUUGGAGGACACGUGAAGACGCUGGCCACCAAACCAGAACCAAGUUAUCCCUCUUCAGCUGCGGCGCCGGAGCCUGCCCAGCGAGCUGCAGACCACCAUGCCUCGCCUGGCGCUGCCGCGUUUGCAUGCCCUCCAGCUGGCAAGCUGCCCUCGCCUUUCCAAAGCCUCAUCUCAGACGUUUAUCGGACCCACAGCCCCUCCAGGAGAGACUGACCACAUUCCCUGCUUUGUGACCUUGUAAGGUGUCCAUCAGCUCCCGUCCUGGCCCAAUCUGUCCACCCCUGGAAUGCUGGGGAGGAGGUCCCUCACCACCCGCAGCCCUCUCUGACCAGCCCUGGUGUCUAGUCUUCCUUCCCUGGUAUUUUCUGUGUUCAUGUGUUAGAUUCCACAUAAUAAAAGCCCUUAACUUUC